GGCAACUUGGCCGAGUGGUCUAAGGCGCUGGAAUUAGGAUUCUUUCCUCUAUCCAGUCCGCAAGGGCGUGAGUUCGAACCUCACAGUUGUCA
This 92-nucleotide transfer RNA is filed under the name Termitomyces sp. T159_Od127. RNAcentral describes it as "tRNA-Leu". It matches the Rfam family "tRNA". Rfam says of the family: Transfer RNA (tRNA) molecules are approximately 80 nucleotides in length. Lineage: Eukaryota; Fungi; Basidiomycota; Agaricomycetes; Agaricales; Lyophyllaceae. The record is from RNAcentral.